RNAcentral lists this non-coding RNA (281 nucleotides) under Clostridium kluyveri. RNAcentral describes it as "T-box sequence". It matches the Rfam family "T-box leader". Rfam says of the family: Uncharged tRNA acts as the effector for transcription antitermination of genes in the T-box leader family. T-boxes are found upstream of many aminoacyl-tRNA synthetase genes and some amino acid biosynthetic genes usually in Gram-positive bacteria. The record is from RNAcentral. Lineage: Bacteria; Bacillati; Bacillota; Clostridia; Eubacteriales; Clostridiaceae.
AAUAAAACUAAGAUGGAGAGAAAAAUAUUUGACCUAUUAACUUCAGAGAGCCAACAGAUGGUGAAAGUUGGUGUUAAUAUAAAUAUAUAAUAAUCACUCCGGAGUUUCCAAGUAGAAAGACUUUUGUCUAGUAAACGAGGACGUCUACCAGCGGUAUUUGGUUAGGGUUAUAGUGGAUAUUUGUAUCUAGUUAUUUGAAGCUGACCUGAAAAAUGAGUGGCAGUUAGGUAUCUAACUGCAAAUAAGGUGGUAUCACGGAAUGUUAAUCUUUCGUCCUUAUA